This 1440-nucleotide ribosomal RNA is filed under the name metagenome. RNAcentral's name for it is "SSU rRNA". It matches the Rfam family "Eukaryotic small subunit ribosomal RNA", at positions 1 to 1371 of the family's 1831-position model. The record is from RNAcentral.
UCUGGAUGACCCUGCCAGUAGCAUAUGCUUGUCUCUGAGACUAAGCCAUGCAUGUCUAAGUAUAAAUUAAUUUUUACGGUGAAACUGCGGACGGCUCAUUAAAUCAGUUAUAACCUACUUGAUCGUGUGACUUUAUUCGGAUAACCCUAGUAAUUCUAGAGCUAAUACGUGCUAAAAGCCUUAACUUCCAGCAAUGGGGGAAGAGGUAUAUUUAUUAGAAACUAAAACCAAUCAGCUUCGGCUGUUUGAGAUGAUUCAUAAUAACUCGGCAAAUUACGGGAAAAUUCCUGUGAUGAUUCAAACGGAUUCCUGACCUUUCAACUUUAGAUGGCAAAGUAGGGGUUUGCCAUGGUGACAACGGGUGACGGGGAAUUAGGGUUCGAUUCCGGAGAGGGAGCCUGAGAAACGGCUACCACUUCCGAGGAAGGCAGCAGGCGCGCAAAUUACCCAAUGCUAAUUCGGCGAGGUAGUGACAAGAAAUACCAAUGUAGGACCCAACGGGUACUACGUUUGGAAUGAGAACAAUUUAAAAACCUUAACGAGGAACAAUUGGAGGGCAAGUCUGGUGCCAGCAGCCGCGGUAAUUCCAGCUCCAAUAGUGUAUAUUAAAGUUGCUGCGGUUAAAAAGCUCGUAGUUGGAUUACGAAGUGGUGUUUAAAUGUCAUUUUGGUUUGUUUGUCUUUCGGGGCAUUCAGGUCAACUUGGCUCUUACUCACUGUUGUCAUUGUCUUUGCCCAAGGUAUAUGCCUUGUGUGCAUGGCAUUGACCUUCUAUUUUAUGGUAAUGUUGUAUCUUUCGGGGUACAUUCAUUCCAUAUAGUUUACUUUGAAAUAAUUAGGGUGUUUAAAGCAGGCGAAAAGGCUUCGGAAUAUAUUAGCAUGGGAUAAUAGAAUACGAUCUAGGUCGUAAUUGUUGGUUUCUACGGCUUAGGUAAUGAUUGACAGGGAUAGUUGGGGUCGCUCGUAUUGAGUUGUCAGAGGUGAAAUUCUAGGAUUAACUCAAGACGAACUAAUGCGAAAGCAUUCGGCAAGGAUGUUUUCAUUAAUCAAGAACGAAAGUUGGGGGAUCGAAGAUGAUCAGAUACCGUCGUAGUCUCAACUGUAAACUAUGUCGACCGAGGAUCCGGUAGCGUUACAUGGAUGACCUUCCGGGCACUCUGUGAGAAAUCAUAAGUAUUUGGAUUUCGGGGGGAGUAUGGUCGCAAGGCUGAAACUUAAAGGGAUUGACGGAAGGGCACCACCAGGAGUGGAAUCUGCGGCUUAUUUGACCCAACACGGGAAAACUUACCAGGUCCGGACACAGUGAGGAUUGACAGAUUGAGAGCUCUUUCUUGAUUUUGUGGGUGGUGGUGCAUGGCCGUUUUUAGUUGGUGGAGUGAUUUGUCUGGUUAAAUCCGUUAACGAACGAGACCUUAACCUAUUAAAUAGCUGCGCGAACCCA